CCGUAGCCCAUUGACUGCUGUCUACUUAUUCUGAGACCACGCAGGCUGGUGCAACACAAACACAAUUUCAGCCUAUGGCACGCACACGUUAAAUACUACAAUGCGAGACGCCGACGUAAAGGUAUAAAUCAAAUUUACCCUAACAAUCCUAAGUUGCUCCCCGCGACGGCAGGCCCUCCACAUCAGCCGCAGGCCCACCUCAUCGUCCUUCGUCUCGGC
RNAcentral lists this long non-coding RNA (219 nucleotides) under Sorghum bicolor (sorghum). Its description in RNAcentral is "long non-coding RNA (SBIC_LNC001000)". The record is from RNAcentral. Lineage: Eukaryota; Viridiplantae; Streptophyta; Magnoliopsida; Poales; Poaceae.